Long non-coding RNA from Alligator sinensis (Chinese alligator), 184 nucleotides. RefSeq lists it as uncharacterized. The transcript is spliced from 3 exons. NCBI's taxonomy places the organism in Eukaryota, Metazoa, Chordata, Crocodylia, Alligatoridae. The record is from RefSeq and is a predicted model, not a curated record.
CCAGAAGGCAAUGAGGAGGUUUCUAUCAGAGAGGUGUAUCAGGUCUACCAUCUCAAACUCUCUCUUCACUAGGUUUCUUGCUGAGAAGCCUCAGGGUUUGGAUUUCUGACACUGGACAUAGUGAGAAAGGAGAUGCCCGAAGGCCCAGCUGGAGAAUGCAUUAACUUGAUUUCUCCACUGAAGU